Molecule: ribosomal RNA, 253 nt
Filed under: uncultured bacterium
Lineage: Bacteria
Description: partial 16S ribosomal RNA
Rfam family: Bacterial small subunit ribosomal RNA
Source: RNAcentral
UACAGAGGUCCCAAGCGUUGUUCGGAUUCACUGGGCGUAAAGGGUGCGUAGGCGGCCCUCUUUGUCGCGUGUGAAAGCCCCGGGCUCAACCUGGGAACGGCGCGCGAAACGGGGGGGCUGGAGUUCGGGAGAGGAGCGUGGAAUUCCCAGUGUAGAGGUGAAAUUCGUAGAUAUUGGGAAGAACACCGGUGGCGAAGGCGGCGCUCUGGACCGAGACUGACGCUGAGGCGCGAAAGCGUGGGGAGCAAACAGG